This 228-nucleotide ribosomal RNA is filed under the name uncultured bacterium. RNAcentral describes it as "partial 16S ribosomal RNA". It matches the Rfam family "Bacterial small subunit ribosomal RNA", at positions 568 to 795 of the family's 1533-position model. The record is from RNAcentral.
UGCGUAGGCGGAAAUACAAGUGUCAUGUGAAAUCCCUCGGCUUAACCGAGGAAUGGCUUGGCAAACUGUAUUUCUUGAGGCAAGUAGGGGUGUGUGGAACUCUUGGUGGAGCGGUGGAAUGCGUAGAUAUCAAGAGGAACGCCGAAGGUGAAGACAGCACACUGGACUUGUACUGACGCUGAGGCACGAAAGCGUGGGGAGCAAACAGGAUUAGAUACCCUGGUAGUC